UCCCCGUUACCGAGGCAGUCUAGUUAGAAAAUGCAACUAACUACGAGGGUUGCGCUCGUUGAAGGACUUAACCUAACAUCUCACGACACGAGCUGACGACAGCCAUGCAGCACCUGUUACCGGGUUCCUUGCGGCACAGCCCUAUUUCUAGGGCCUUCCCGGAAUGUCAAGCCUUGGUAAGGUUCUUCGCGUACCAUCGAAUUAAACCACACGCUCCACCGCUUGUGCGGGUCCCCGUCAAUUCCUUUGAGUUUUAAGCUUGCGCUCGUACUCCCCAGGCGGGAUGCUUAACGCGUUAGCUUCGCUACUGACCGGGUCGAUACGGCCAACAGCUAGCAUCCAUCGUUUACGGCGUGGACUAC
This 362-nucleotide unclassified non-coding RNA is filed under the name uncultured bacterium. Its description in RNAcentral is "contains 16S-23S intergenic spacer region". The record is from RNAcentral.